Molecule: small nuclear RNA, 114 nt
Organism: Pararge aegeria (speckled wood butterfly)
Lineage: Eukaryota; Metazoa; Arthropoda; Insecta; Lepidoptera; Nymphalidae
Product: U5 spliceosomal RNA
Exons: 1
Source: RefSeq, a predicted model, not a curated record
UAACUCUGGUUUCCCUUCAGACGUAUAAAUCUUUCGCCUUUUACUAAAGAUUUCCGUGUAGGGGAACAUUCAAAUGAGUCUGUAAUAUUUUUGGAAGCUUUACCUGGUAAAGUU